GCGGGAGUAGCUCAGGGGUAGAGCGCUAGCUUCCCAAGCUGGAUGUCGCGGGUUCGAAUCCCGUCUCCCGCUCUA
This 75-nucleotide transfer RNA is filed under the name Planctomycetota bacterium. Its description in RNAcentral is "Planctomycetes bacterium tRNA-Gly". It matches the Rfam family "tRNA". From Rfam's summary of the family: Transfer RNA (tRNA) molecules are approximately 80 nucleotides in length. Their secondary structure includes four short double-helical elements and three loops (D, anti-codon, and T loops). Lineage: Bacteria; Pseudomonadati; Planctomycetota. The record is from RNAcentral.